Molecule: ribosomal RNA, 163 nt
Filed under: uncultured bacterium
Lineage: Bacteria
Description: partial 16S ribosomal RNA
Rfam family: Bacterial small subunit ribosomal RNA
Source: RNAcentral
UAGGGAAUCUUCCACAAUGGACGAAAGUCUGAUGGAGCAACGCCGCGUGAGUGAAGAAGGGUUUCGGCUCGUAAAAGCUCUGUUGGUAGUGAAGAAAGAUAGAGGUAGUAACUGGCCUUUAUUUGACGGUAAUUACUUAGAAAGUCACGGCUAACUACGUGCC